Molecule: unclassified non-coding RNA, 200 nt
Filed under: Archaeorhizomyces sp.
Lineage: Eukaryota; Fungi; Ascomycota; Archaeorhizomycetes; Archaeorhizomycetales; Archaeorhizomycetaceae
Description: partial contains small subunit ribosomal RNA, internal transcribed spacer 1, and 5.8S ribosomal RNA
Rfam family: Eukaryotic small subunit ribosomal RNA (bases 1-46)
Source: RNAcentral
AAGUCGUAACAAGGUCUCCGUAGGUGAACCUGCGGAGGGAUCAUUAUUGAAUGGUCUUUGACCUUCUACCCCUCAAACCUGUGGAAGCAAAAAAUGUGCUUCGGCGUCCUCCUCUGGGCGCCGCUUUUAUGCAUAAAUCUGUGUGUCGUCUGAAUCAUACACAAGAAUCAAAACUUUCAACAACGGAUCUCUUGGUUCUG